Long non-coding RNA from Callorhinus ursinus (northern fur seal), 1275 nucleotides. RefSeq lists it as uncharacterized. Lineage: Eukaryota; Metazoa; Chordata; Mammalia; Carnivora; Otariidae. The record is from RefSeq and is a predicted model, not a curated record.
ACAUGAGCCGAAGGCAGUCACUUCAUUGAGGGCGCCCAGGCGCCCCUCCUGCACUUCUUUAAUAGACAUCUCAGACUUAUGUCCAAAAUCGAACUCUUGAUUUUCUUCCACAACCCCACCAGAAACCCGUUCCACGGUUUUCUCCCUCUCAGCUGUUGGCGACUCCAUCCUUCCAGUUGCUCAAGCUAAAAACCUUUGGAGUCAUCCUUGACUCCUAGUCUCCUAUAUCAAUCCAUCAAGAAGUCCUGUCGGUUCUACCUUCAAAAUAUAUCCAGAAUCUGACCCCCUUUUUUUUUUUAUCACCUCCCCUAACACCAAGGCACUACCGUCUCUCACCCGGAUUGCUGGAAUGAUCUCUUAAAUGGCCUCCUGCUUACAAGCUUGCCUGUCUACAGUCAUUCAGAGCGAUCCCAUCAAAAUACCGUGAACACCUACAAAGUCUGCCUUCCAAGAGCAGCUCCUCUGGAGAAGCGGAGAUAAAGAUAACCAAGGAAACUCUCCCUGCCCUUGAGGAACCCACACUUCAGUGAGUCAUAUAACCUAACAAGUAAUUAGAAUGGAAAUGCUCAAAGCAGUUGGAUGUGAGAGAGUCUGAGGCCCCGGGGAACAGUGCGGUUUGGGGCACUCUUCAGCCUGGGUAGUAGUUAAAACCAUGAGUUCACCCGAAGAGAAUGUAAGAAAUGAAAAGCACUCAGGAGACACCGGUGUUUAAAGGGUGAAGGUCAGAGACAGGAGGCCAAGAAGGAAUAAUAGUAAUCAAAGCCGUGAAGAAGAGCUGGAAGAAUGAGCCCGAUGUCGGCGCUACUAGAACCUUUGCAGAAUACUGCUAAUGAUCAAGCCAGGACCAUUCCUCACAACUCACUACGUAUCUGCUACUGCUCCAAGCAUGUUUCCUAUAAUCACACAUUAAACCCAGGGAGUGAGGCACUAUGACCCUAUCUUACUGAGAAAACGGAUUCACCCGCCCAAGUGCAUGCACACACCUACUAAGAGACCGUUAUGCAUAUUAAAGAAGGGGGGGCGGCAAAUACAAAAGAAAAAUAAGCGAGAAAGAGUGAGAGAGUGAACAAAUCAGGAUGCAUGAGGGAAUCCACGUGGUCGCCAAUCUGUAACUGAUCAGAGCAGCUACACUGAAGCAAAACCCCCAGCGCCUACCGCCAAAUACAUUGCAAUGGAGAAACGGUCCACAAUGGUGUGUCUAUAUCCUUACCAGAGUCUUGGGGCUGCCGCUUAAGAGACUCUCCCGCUACUCCCACCCCUUUUGCACCCAGUAAA